RNAcentral lists this ribosomal RNA (195 nucleotides) under Triticum aestivum (bread wheat). Its description in RNAcentral is "partial small subunit ribosomal RNA". Lineage: Eukaryota; Viridiplantae; Streptophyta; Magnoliopsida; Poales; Poaceae. The record is from RNAcentral.
AUACCUCAUCUAAGGCCUACUAAGUACAAAAGAUCAAGAUUAUCCAGGAAUAGGAGAACAGUGAACCGUCCUUAUGGUGGUGUUCUAUCUGGUCAGGCUGUUAGGGAGAGGAUCAUCCGUGCUUUCCUUGUCGAAGAGCAAAAGAUUGUGAAGAAGGUUUUGAAGAUCCAGAAGACCAAGGAGAAGCAGCUAUAA